GGGGGCGACCGGCUUCGACGGGACGGACCGAAACUCAGGAAGCAUACCGAGGCCUACUACUCGUUAACCAGGUAGAAAACUAUAGUCGCAGACGACUAUAACUACGCACUAGCCGCUUAAUCACGGCUAGCGUCCUGUGGGACCACUCCUGCGGGUUUUACGGGACGACUACUAGCAGGAUAGCCUAAGGGGCUCUGUCCGAAGUACCCUCAUGGCGAAAAUCAACCGGACUGGCGCUCUUGUAGUUUGUCUGUGGGAUGCAAGAGGGCGAGAAAACUUCCAUAGACUAAGUAUGUAGAUGCCUGAAUGUAGGCGUUUCCGGACGUGGGUUCGAUUCCCACCGCCUCCACCA
RNAcentral lists this transfer-messenger RNA (352 nucleotides) under bacterium. RNAcentral's name for it is "JADFVP01 sp015222595 Standard tmRNA". It matches the Rfam family "transfer-messenger RNA". Rfam says of the family: Bacterial tmRNA, also known as 10Sa RNA or SsrA, is named for its dual tRNA and mRNA-like properties. Its role is to liberate the mRNA from a stalled ribosome. RNAcentral also lists the same sequence under 1 other name. The record is from RNAcentral.